ACCUACUCACCCCAACCCCCACCCCCGGAAGGAACAACACGAUUUGAGGAACUGAAAGAAGACCUGUGAGAAGGGGGUUAAUGAGCACAGUAGAUAAUUUUGUUUUAAGGUCUGAAUUUAAACGCAAGCAUAAUAAGGACACUGAUUCGCCUGAGAAAGAGGAGAUCUGGGAAGAGGAUUUAGGAGAUUCAUGUCACUAUCAGGACAGGACAUACUGAUGGAAAGAAGGAGGCCACUGUGGUAACCAGAACUGACCCCGACGUGAUUUGAACACGCAACCUUCUGAUCUGGAGUCAGACGCGCUACCGUUGCGCCACGAGGUCACAGAUCUCUUGAGGAGGAAAAGAAACUGGCGUUAGCAGAGGAUGGUUUCGAUCCAUCGACCUCUGGGUUAUGGGCCCAGCACGCUUCCGCUGCGCCACUCUGCUGUGGGGUCUGUGUUGUCAUAAG
Molecule: non-coding RNA, 450 nt
Organism: Vicugna pacos (alpaca)
Lineage: Eukaryota; Metazoa; Chordata; Mammalia; Artiodactyla; Camelidae
Source: RefSeq, a predicted model, not a curated record